Molecule: ribosomal RNA, 253 nt
Filed under: uncultured bacterium
Lineage: Bacteria
Description: partial 16S ribosomal RNA
Rfam family: Bacterial small subunit ribosomal RNA
Source: RNAcentral
UACGUAGGGGGCGAGCGUUGUCCGGAGUUACUGGGCGUAAAGCGCACGCAGGCGGUCUGUGAAGUUUGGAGUGACAGUUGGUGGCUCAACCACCAAAGUGCUUUGAAAACUGAUAGACUUGAGGGCUUCAGAGGGACACAGAAUUCCGGGUGGAGUGGUGAAAUGCGUAGAGAUCCGGAGGAACACCAAAGGCGAAGGCAGUGUCCUGGGGAGUACCUGACGCUCAGGUGCGAAAGCCAGGGGAGCGAACGGG